This 272-nucleotide unclassified non-coding RNA is filed under the name plant metagenome. RNAcentral's name for it is "partial contains small subunit ribosomal RNA, internal transcribed spacer 1, and 5.8S ribosomal RNA". The record is from RNAcentral.
UCUCCGUAGGUGAACCUGCGGAAGGAUCAUUAACGAGUUGUCAUGUGGUACGAUGCUGGAAGCCAGUUUUUGGAUGCAUGUACUUGCCAUAACAAUCAUCUUCUUCCAAACACCUGUGCACAUUGUUGAGGGAGUCUUGAGUUGGUUGCCGCUCUUGGGUGAUUUUCUCACAUUCCCUUAAAUCAUUAUACGCUAUUAACACUGUUGAACGUGCUUUGUGCCGCACGACAAAUAAUAUAUUACAACUUUUAACAACGGAUCUCUUGGUUCUC